AGAGUUUGAUCAUGGCUCAGGAUGAACGCUAGCUACAGGCUUAACACAUGCAAGUCGAGGGGAAACGAUAUUGGAAGCUUGCUUCCGAUAGGCGUCGACCGGCGCACGGGUGAGUAACGCGUAUCCAACCUGCCCACCACUUGGGGAUAACCUUGCGAAAGUAAGACUAAUACCCAAUGACGUCUCUAGAAGACAUCUGAAGGAGAUUAAAGAUUUAUCGGUGAUGGAUGGGGAUGCGUCUGAUUAGCUUGUUGGCGGGGUAACGGCCCACCAAGGCAACGAUCAGUAGGGGUUCUGAGAGGAAGGUCCCCCACAUUGGAACUGAGACACGGUCCAAACUCCUACGGGAGGCAGCAGUGAGGAAUAUUGGUCAAUGGGCGAGAGCCUGAACCAGCCAAGUAGCGUGCAGGAAGACGGCCCUAUGGGUUGUAAACUGCUUUUAUAAGGUAAUAAAGUUAGUCUCGUGAGACUUUUUGCAUGUACCUUAUGAAUAAGGACCGGCUAAUUCCGCGCCAGCAGCCGCGGUAAUACGGGGGAUGCGAGCGUUAUCCGGAUUCAUUGGGUUUAAAGGGUGCGUAGGCUGUGCGUCAAGUCGGGGGUGAAAUUCCGGUGCUCAACACCGGGGCUGCCCUUGAUACUGUCGCGCUGGAGUGCGGAUGCCGCCGGAGGAAUGAGUGGUGUAGCGGUGAAAUGCUUAGAUAUCACUCAGAACACCGAUUGCGAAGGCAUCUGGCGAAUCCGUAACUGACGCUGAGGCACGAAAGCGUGGGGAUAGAACAGGAUUAGAUACCCUGGUAUUCCACGCCGUAAACGAUGAUGGCUAACCGCCGGCGACACACUGUCGGUGGCCAAGCGAAAGCGAUAGCCAUCCACCUGGGGAGUACGUCGGCAACGAUGAAACUCAAAGGAAUUGACGGGGGCCCGCACAAGCGGAGGAACAUGUGGUUUAAUUCGAUGAUACGCGAGGAACCUUACCCGGGCUCGAACGGCACCUGGAUCACCCAGAGAUGGGCGAGUCUUCGGACAGGUGUCGAGGUGCUGCAUGGUUGUCGUCAGCUCGUGCCGUGAGGUGUCGGCUCAAGUGCCAUAACGAGCGCAACCCUUGCCGCCAGUUGCCAUCAGGUGAUGCUGGGCACUCUGGCGGGACUGCCACCGCAAGGUGUGAGGAGGGGGGGGAUGACGUCAAAUCAGCACGGCCCUUACGUCCGGGGCGACACACGUGUUACAAUGGCGGCCACAGAGGGAAGCUACCCCGCGAGGGGAUGCGGAUCUCGAAAAGCCGUCCCAGUUCGGACUGGAGUCUGCAACCCGACUCCACGAAGUUGGAUUCGCUAGUAAUCGCGCAUCAGCCAUGGCGCGGUGAAUACGUUCCCGGGCCUUGUACACACCGCCCGUCAAGCCAUGGAAGCCGCGGGCGCCUGAAGUCCGUGACCGGAAGGAGCGGCCUAGGGCGAAAGUGGUAACUGGGGCUAAGUCGUAACAAGGUA
RNAcentral lists this ribosomal RNA (1487 nucleotides) under metagenome. RNAcentral describes it as "bacterial SSU rRNA". It matches the Rfam family "Bacterial small subunit ribosomal RNA". The record is from RNAcentral.